Molecule: ribosomal RNA, 530 nt
Filed under: uncultured bacterium
Lineage: Bacteria
Description: partial 16S ribosomal RNA
Rfam family: Bacterial small subunit ribosomal RNA
Source: RNAcentral
UGGGGAAUUUUGGACAAUGGGGGAAACCCUGAUCCAGCCAUCCCGCGUGUGCGAUGAAGGCCUUCGGGUUGUAAAGCACUUUUGGCAGGAAAGAAACGUCGCGGGUUAAUACCCCGCGGAACUGACGGUACCUGCAGAAUAAGCACCGGCUAACUACGUGCCAGCAGCCGCGGUAAUACGUAGGGUGCAAGCGUUAAUCGGAAUUACUGGGCGUAAAGCGUGCGCAGGCGGUUCGGAAAGAAAGAUGUGAAAUCCCAGAGCUUAACUUUGGAACUGCAUUUUUAACUACCGGGCUAGAGUGUGUCAGAGGGAGGUGGAAUUCCGCGUGUAGCAGUGAAAUGCGUAGAUAUGCGGAGGAACACCGAUGGCGAAGGCAGCCUCCUGGGAUAACACUGACGCUCAUGCACGAAAGCGUGGGGAGCAAACAGGAUUAGAUACCCUGGUAGUCCACGCCCUAAACGAUGUCAACUAGCUGUUGGGGUCUUCGGACCUUGGUAGCGCAGCUAACGCGUGAAGUUGACCGCCUGGGG